This 482-nucleotide ribosomal RNA is filed under the name uncultured bacterium. RNAcentral's name for it is "partial 16S ribosomal RNA". It matches the Rfam family "Bacterial small subunit ribosomal RNA", at positions 28 to 507 of the family's 1533-position model. The record is from RNAcentral.
GAUGAACGCUAGCGGCAGGCCUAAUACAUGCAAGUCGAACGAGAUUAAGAGGCUUGCUUCUUAUGAAAGUGGCGCACGGGUGCGUAACGCGUAUGCAACCUACCUUAAUCAGGGGGAUAGCCCGAAGAAAUUCGGAUUAAGACCGCAUAAAAACACAGGAUAGCAUUAUCCAAUGUUCAAAUAUUUAUAGGAUUAAGAUGGGCAUGCGUGUCAUUAGCUAGUUGGCGGGGUAACGGCCCACCAAGGCGACGAUGACUAGGGGAUCUGAGAGGAUGACCCCCCACACUGGUACUGAGACACGGACCAGAAUCCUACGGGAGGCAGCAGUAAGGGAUAUUGGUCAAUGGAGGGAACUCUGAACCAGCCAUGCCGCGUGCAGGAAGACAGCCCUCUGGGUCGUAAACUGCUUUUAUUCGGGAAUAAACCUUUAUACGUGUAGGAAGCUGAAUGUACCGAAGGAAUAAGGAUCGGCUAACUCCGUG